Molecule: ribosomal RNA, 433 nt
Filed under: uncultured bacterium
Lineage: Bacteria
Description: partial 16S ribosomal RNA
Rfam family: Bacterial small subunit ribosomal RNA
Source: RNAcentral
AGCGAACGCUGGCGGCAGGCCUAACACAUGCAAGUCGAACGAACUCUUCGGAGUUAGUGGCGGACGGGUGAGUAACACGUGGGAACGUGCCUUUUGGUUCGGAAUAACUCAGGGAAACUUGUGCUAAUACCGAAUGUGCCCUUCGGGGGAAAGAUUUAUCGCCAUUAGAGUGGCCCGCGUCUGAUUAGCUAGUUGGUGAGGUAACGGCUCACCAAGGCGACGAUCAGUAGCUGGUCUGAGAGGAUGACCAGCCACACUGGGACUGAGACACGGCCCAGACUCCUACGGGAGGCAGCAGUGGGGAAUCUUGCGCAAUGGGCGAAAGCCUGACGCAGCCAUGCCGCGUGAAUGAUGAAGGUCUUAGGAUUGUAAAAUUCUUUCACCGGGGACGAUAAUGACGGUACCCGGAGAAGAAGCCCCGGCUAACUUCGUG